Molecule: small RNA, 64 nt
Filed under: Clostridium sp. Maddingley MBC34-26
Lineage: Bacteria; Bacillati; Bacillota; Clostridia; Eubacteriales; Clostridiaceae
Description: DUF3800-VIII RNA
Rfam family: DUF3800-VIII RNA
About the family: Bacteroidetes, Cyanobacteria, Firmicutes, Planctomycetes (1 example), Proteobacteria, Tenericutes (1 example). Nearby to DUF3800
Source: Rfam by way of RNAcentral
AAUACCCUGUAAAGUCGAAGUCUUAAGUUUGAACUUGAAAGAUAUUUAGACAAUACAGGGUAUU